UAGGGAAUCUUCCGCAAUGGGCGAAAGCCUGACGGAGCAACGCCGCGUGAGUGAUGAAGGUCUUCGGAUCGUAAAACUCUGUUAUUAGGGAAGAACAAAUGUGUAAGUAACUAUGCACGUCUUGACGGUACCUAAUCAGAAAGCCACGGCUAACUACGUGCCAGCAGCCGCGGUAAUACGUAGGUGGCAAGCGUUAUCCGGUAUUAUUUGGCGUAAAGCGCGCGUAGGCGGUUUUUUAAGUCUGAUGUGAAAGCCCACGGCUCAACCGUGGAGGGUCAUUGGAAACUGGAAAACUUGAGUGCAGAAGAGGAAAGUGGAAUUCCAUGUGUAGCGGUGAAAUGCGCAGAGAUAUGGAGGAACACCAGUGGCGAAGGAGACUUUCUGGUCUGUAACUGACGCUGAUGUGCGAAAGCGGGGGGAUCAAACAGG
RNAcentral lists this ribosomal RNA (429 nucleotides) under Actinomycetes bacterium. RNAcentral describes it as "Actinobacteria bacterium partial 16S ribosomal RNA". It matches the Rfam family "Bacterial small subunit ribosomal RNA", at positions 355 to 776 of the family's 1533-position model. The record is from RNAcentral. Lineage: Bacteria; Bacillati; Actinomycetota; Actinomycetes.